This 238-nucleotide ribosomal RNA is filed under the name Cytisus villosus. Lineage: Eukaryota; Viridiplantae; Streptophyta; Magnoliopsida; Fabales; Fabaceae. The record is from RNAcentral.
UCGAAGCCUCACAAGCAGUGCGACCCUGUGAAUUUGUUUGACUACUCGGGGGUGGCUAGAGGUGUUCGGCACCCCGGUCCCCCUCGUGUCGGGAGGCGCCCACCCUGCGUGGUCUCCUCCUGGCCCAAUAACAAAACCCCGGCGCCGAACGCGCCAAGGAAAAUGAAAUCGUUUAGUGCGCCCCCGUCGGCCCGGAGACGGUGCCCGUGCGGGCGGCGUUGCGACACGCGUAUCCGAA